CCUACGGGAGGCAGCAGUGGGGAAUAUUGGACAAUGGGGGCAACCCUGAUCCAGCCAUGCCGCGUGUGUGAAGAAGGCCCUCGGGUUGUAAAGCACUUUCAGUGAGGAAGAACGCCUGGUGGUUAAUACCCAUCAGGAAAGACAUCACUCACGGAAGAAGCACCGGCUAACUCCGUGCCAGCAGCCGCGGUAAUACGGAGGGUGCGAGCGUUAAUCGGAAUUACUGGGCGUAAAGCGCGCGUAGGUGGCUUGAUAAGCCGGUUGUGAAAGCCCCGGGCUCAACCUGGGAACGGCAUCCGGAACUGUCAAGCUAGAGUGCAGGAGAGGAAGGUAGAAUUCCCGGUGUAGCGGUGAAAUGCGUAGAGAUCGGGAGGAAUACCAGUGGCGAAGGCGGCCUUCUGGACUGACACUGACACUGAGGUGCGAAAGCGUGGGUAGCAAACAGGAUUAGAUACCCCAGUAGUC
Molecule: ribosomal RNA, 465 nt
Filed under: Vreelandella stevensii
Lineage: Bacteria; Pseudomonadati; Pseudomonadota; Gammaproteobacteria; Oceanospirillales; Halomonadaceae
Description: partial 16S ribosomal RNA
Rfam family: Bacterial small subunit ribosomal RNA
Source: RNAcentral